This 534-nucleotide ribosomal RNA is filed under the name uncultured Psychromonas sp. RNAcentral describes it as "bacterial SSU rRNA". It matches the Rfam family "Bacterial small subunit ribosomal RNA", at positions 1 to 531 of the family's 1533-position model. The record is from RNAcentral. Lineage: Bacteria; Pseudomonadati; Pseudomonadota; Gammaproteobacteria; Alteromonadales; Psychromonadaceae.
GCCCUUAGAGUUUGAUCCUGGCUCAGGAUGAACGCUAGCGGCAGGCUUAACACAUGCAAGUCGAGGGGUAACAGGAGUAGCUUGCUACUUGCUGACGACCGGCGCACGGGUGCGUAACGCGUAUAGAAUCUACCUUGUACUAGGGGAUAGCCUUUGGAAACGAAGAUUAAUACCCUAUAGUAAGUAUUUAUGGCAUCAUUUAUACUUUAAAGGUUACGGUACAAGAUGACUAUGCGUCCUAUUAGUUUGUUGGUAAGGUAACGGCUUACCAAGACUUCGAUAGGUAGGGGCCCUGAGAGGGGGAUCCCCCACACUGGUACUGAGACACGGACCAGACUCCUACGGGAGGCAGCAGUGAGGAAUAUUGGACAAUGGAGGCAACUCUGAUCCAGCCAUGCCGCGUGCAGGAUGACGGCCCUAUGGGUUGUAAACUGCUUUUAUGUAGGAAGAAACACUCUCACGUGUGAGAGCUUGACGGUACUACAAGAAUAAGGACCGGCUAACUCCGUGCCAGCAGCCGCGGUAAUAAGGGCG